This is a long non-coding RNA of Canis lupus familiaris (dog), 2558 nucleotides long. RefSeq lists it as uncharacterized. The transcript has 4 exons. The record is from RefSeq and is a predicted model, not a curated record. NCBI's taxonomy places the organism in Eukaryota, Metazoa, Chordata, Mammalia, Carnivora, Canidae.
AGGAUCACGACCUGAGCCGAAGGCAGACACACAACCUCUGAGCCACCCAGGCGUCCCCCUAUUUACCUUUUAUUAUCAUUUGAUGAAGAGAGGAAGAAGUUUGAAGCAAGGGAAGGAAUAUCUUGAUAAUUGAUACUUGGCAUGCUUUAUUGAGUCAGGAAAUCCUACAUUAACUCACAGAACAUUGUAUUAAAUAUUCUAUUUAAUAUACAUUCCUUUAACCCAUACUAUGUACCAGGUUUUGAUCUAAGAACUUAACAUACACUCUCUCACUGAAUCCUCCAAAUGGGCCUAUAUUGUAGCUCUUCCCUACACUCAUUUUUAGUACCCUCCACAUUUUACCACUUUUCUGGGUAAGUCCUGCAGGAGUUGGAAAGAGGAAGAUUCUACCCUUAUGAAGAGAGUAGAGAAACUAAUAACUGCCAACGGUAUAUUAUCUCAGGCUAGAUAUUUUGUGUGUAUCAUCUAAUAAUAAUAAUAUUAUUAUUAGAUUAUUAUUAAUAAUAAUGCAACAGCCCUAUGAGGUGGGUUAUACUUUCCUCAUUUUAUAGAUGUUGAAAUAAACUAAAGAAGUAAAUAAACUAGCCCAGCAUCACACCACUAGUUCAGGGUGAGACUAGGAAUCUAAUCCAGGCCUAAUUUCAAACCCCAUAUAUUUUUCUCAGCAUCUUGAUAUAUAUGGAUAGGGAAGAUAAUAUUUUUGCAUGUUCAAGUAUAAUACAAGUAUAAUACAAUAUAUUGUAUUUUAUAAUACAAUAAAAGAACAUAGAUAAAUUGCCACGGGAGUUAAGAGGAAGAGGGAUUACUCCUAGUCAAGAGGUCAUGACUGUCCUCUUUGAAGAGGUAGCAUCCAAAAUCGAGCUUGAAAGUUGGUAAUGUGGGCAGAUAGUAUGGGGGAAGAAGAUUCCAGGCAGAGGGAAGAGCACAAGGACAGAUUAUGACAGGAUGAGGAUACCAUGAAUAGUUUGCAGAGAGGGGUUUGGGGUGGAGUUUUGCCUGGGUUGGAGGGACUCUCUGGUCACCAGCAUUCUUAGAUUUGCCAGUGCGUGGUUAUAGUAAAAAGUAGAGUAACUCUUAAUUUCAUUAUUGAUUUUAAGUCCUCUACAAGACAGUGCACCCUCUUUAUCAUGUGUGCUGAGAGCAGAGCACUCCCACCAGCACCUACCCUUUGGUAUGACACUGGCAGCUGGGUGGGUUUGGUAUUUCAGUGACAGGAUCUACUCAGGAGAAUUGGGGCAAGGCUGGCUGAGGUUCUCAAGGAGCUGAAUUUUGGGUUCAGGUGCCUGCGUGGCAGUGGAAUGAUGCUUCCUGACCUUUCAGACUUUGAGACCUCUGGGCGGUCUUAGACUUCACCUGGAGCCUCCUGUCCAGGAUGCGACCACCUAGGGAAAUUCCAGGGAAAGGUGGCAGAGAUAUCAUGGACUGAAAGGUGAUGGGUACCCCAAUGAGUUCACUACAAGAUCUCAAAGAUUCCAAGCCAUUGGCUGCUCCAAAGCAUAAAGCCACCCUUCUGGAGAGGCGGCAGGAAGGAAGCCUGGAGGAGGCUCCGCUGUUGGCCAGAGGAAGACCACCUUCUCAGGUGUCUGGGGGAACCGCUGAAGGACAGUGAGGGAGAUGUCGCUGGUCCCCAGGACAGAAACACAGCAGCUGGAACCAAGAAGCACUCAGAGUGGGACUCGAGCCCAGCACCCCUUCAGACUGAAGCUCUCUGAGAUACAUGUGCUUCCUGAUUGGACUGUUUUUGCUUUUCCAUCACCUGCAUAACACAGUUCUGGAUACUUUGGAAUGGUUGGCUUUCUUUCCUUUUUUAUCCUUCCCCCACCUCUACCCCCACCCCUGUCUUGUCUUUUUCUUCUCUUGGCCCUGAGAACUGUAAGAAGAGAAUUGCUUUGGAAAGUAUAAUUCUGUUGCUGAAAUUUGCCUUGUUUAUGAACAAAUUCUUUCCCUGAGGAUUUUCUGAAUUGCAAUCCCAGGUUACUUGGUAAAUGGGGCUGCAUGAUUUGAUUUGUGUAGUACUGAUCCUUAGAUUAAAAAUACAUUUUCUUUCUUUCUUUUUUCCCCCCAAGUUUUGGAUCCAGGUAAUGGCCCGAGUCACAUUUGCUUAGCUACUGAAGCGAUCUCAAUGUGGUAUCGCUUGGAGUUGAAACAUAAUCAAACAUACAUUAUACCUGGGGCUCUUGCAUGCUAUUUGAUAUAUAUGUUACACUACAAAGAAACACAAACCUUGUAGGUUGAAAUUUAAUUCCUGUCUGAUCCUAUAGUUAGAAUGGUGAGAAAUCACAAAAUAUCAAAAGUGGCUUCAAAUACCCUGAAUGUAAGCUAACCAACAAUAAAUGGACAGUUUGGAAAUGCCAUUUUCCAAGGCAAAGCAGGAAUUGGAGAUCAACUGACCUCAUCAACAGGGUUGCUUAGGUCUGUCUGUGGAUCUGCUCAAUUUGGAGGAAUCCAAGAACAAGGUCUCCUUCUGUGUUUGGGUUGACGGAAAUUGUGGCGUCUCUGACUUAAUGCUCUGUAACUGUGCCUGCCUUGCAAUAAAACACCUUUGGUUGACUCAGCAA